Molecule: ribosomal RNA, 474 nt
Filed under: uncultured organism
Description: partial 16S ribosomal RNA
Rfam family: Bacterial small subunit ribosomal RNA
Source: RNAcentral
UACACUCCUACGGGAGGCAGCAGUGGGGAAUUUUGGACAAUGGGCGAAAGCCUGAUCCAGCAAUGCCGCGUGUGUGAAGAAGGCCUUCGGGUUGUAAAGCACUUUUGUCCGGAAAGAAAUCCUUGGCUCUAAUACAGUCGGGGGAUGACGGUACCGGAAGAAUAAGCACCGGCUAACUACGUGCCAGCAGCCGCGGUAAUACGUAGGGUGCGAGCGUUAAUCGGAAUUACUGGGCGUAAAGCGUGCGCAGGCGGUUUGCUAAGACCGAUGUGAAAUCCCCGGGCUCAACCUGGGAACUGCAUUGGUGACUGGCAGGCUAGAGUAUGGCAGAGGGGGGUAGAAUUCCACGUGUAGCAGUGAAAUGCGUAGAGAUGUGGAGGAAUACCGAUGGCGAAGGCAGCCCCCUGGGCCAAUACUGACGCUCAUGCACGAAAGCGUGGGGAGCAAACAGGAUUAGAAACCCUUGUAGUCCCA